Molecule: ribosomal RNA, 253 nt
Filed under: uncultured bacterium
Lineage: Bacteria
Description: partial 16S ribosomal RNA
Rfam family: Bacterial small subunit ribosomal RNA
Source: RNAcentral
UACGUAGGGGGCAAGCGUUGUCCGGAAUCAUUGGGCGUAAAGCGCGUGUAGGCGGCCAGGUAAGUCCGUUCUGAAAGCCCGGGGCUCAACCCCGGGAGGCGGAUGGAUACUGCUUGGCUCGAGUCCGGAAGAGGCGAGUGGAAUUCCCGGUGUAGCGGUGAAAUGCGCAGAUAUCGGGAGGAACACCAAUGGCGAAGGCGGCACUCUGGGUCGGCCCUGACGCUGAGGCGCGAAAGCGUGGGGAGCGAACGGG